This 759-nucleotide ribosomal RNA is filed under the name uncultured bacterium. RNAcentral's name for it is "bacterial SSU rRNA". It matches the Rfam family "Bacterial small subunit ribosomal RNA", at positions 60 to 812 of the family's 1533-position model. The record is from RNAcentral.
AGUCGCGGGAGAUCUCGAACUUCGGUUCGAGAGGAGACCGGCGGAUGGGUGAGUAACGCGUAGGUAAUCUGCCUUCAGGACGGGGAUAACCCACCGAAAGGUGAGCUAAUACCGGAUGAUGCAGCGGGGCCGCAUGGCCACAGUUGUUAAAUCCUUCGGGAGCCUGGAGAUGAACCUGCGUGCCAUUAGCUAGUUGGUAGGGUCAAAGCCUACCAAGGCGAUGAUGGCUAGGGGGUCUGAGAGGAUGAUCCCCCACACUGGGACUGAGACACGGCCCAGACUCCUACGGGAGGCAGCAGUGAGGAAUCUUGCGCAAUGGGGGCAACCCUGACGCAGCCACGCCGCGUGCUGGAAGACGGCCCUAUGGGUUGUAAACAGCUUUUACUGGGGAAGAACCUGGACCUUUCGAGGACCACUGACGGUACCCAGUGAAUAAGCACCGGCUAACUCCGUGCCAGCAGCCGCGGUAAUACGGAGGGUGCAAGCGUUGUCCGGAAUCAUUGGGUGUAAAGGGUGUGCAGGCGGAAGUCUAAGUCGGAGGUGAAAUCUUGCCGCUUAACGGUAAAAGGGCCUUCGAAACUGGAUUUCUUGAGUUCGGAAGAGGUUGGUGGAAUUCGUGGUGUAGCGGUGAAAUGCAUAGAUAUCACGAAGAACACCGGUGGCGAAGGCGGCCAACUGGUCCGAUACUGACGCUGAGACACGAGAGCGUGGGGAGCGAACAGGAUUAGAUACCCUGGUAGUCCACGCUGUAAACGAUGC